This 492-nucleotide ribosomal RNA is filed under the name uncultured bacterium. RNAcentral's name for it is "partial 16S ribosomal RNA". It matches the Rfam family "Bacterial small subunit ribosomal RNA", at positions 29 to 507 of the family's 1533-position model. The record is from RNAcentral.
AGUGAACGCUGGCGGUAGGCCUAACACAUGCAAGUCGAACGGCAGCACAGUAAGAGCUUGCUCUUACGGGUGGCGAGUGGCGGACGGGUGAGGAAUAAAUCGGAAUCUACUUUUUCGUGGGGGAUAACGUAGGGAAACUUACGCUACUACCGCAUACGACCUACGGGUGAAAGCAGGGGAUCUUCGGACCUUGCGCGAUUGAAUGAGCCGAUGUCGGAUUAGCUAGUUGGCGGGGUAAAGGCCCACCAAGGCGACGAUCCGUAGCUGGUCUGAGAGGAUGAUCAGCCACACUGGAACUGAGACACGGUCCAGACUCCUACGGGAGGCAGCAGUGGGGAAUAUUGGACAAUGGGCGCAAGCCUGAUCCAGCCAUACCGCGUGAGUGAAGAAGGCCUUCGGGUUGUAAAGCCCUUUUGUUGGGAAAGAAAAGCAGCAGGUUAAUACCCCGCUGUUCUGACGGUACCCAAAGAAUAAGCACCGGCUAACUUCGUG